Molecule: long non-coding RNA, 397 nt
Organism: Manis javanica (Malayan pangolin)
Lineage: Eukaryota; Metazoa; Chordata; Mammalia; Pholidota; Manidae
Source: RefSeq, a predicted model, not a curated record
CAGUGGCUCUCAGGCAGCUUCUCACAUGGGCACCAGAGUAUCUGCUUGCUCCAGACAUUCCCACAGGGCAUCCUGUUCCAGGCAGUCAUGCCAUGGGCUUCAGGUCAGAGUGGGAAAUUUGGUGAAUUCUCGAUGAUACACAUGGGAAACUUCAAGCUACUAAAAGUGCGUGGUGUGGGACUGGGCAGGCGCUGGCUGCGAGGAGGAUCAAUUAAAAUGGGAACUACAAAACUUCUGCGCAGCAUGAUCCUGUUUCUAAUAUAUAUGAAGAAAAUACACCCGAAGGUUAACAGUGAUUCUCUCUGGGCAGAACAAUGACAGAUGAUUUUUAUGAACCUCUUCAUACUCUCCCAGAUUUUCCACUUUUUAAAAAAUAAACCUGAGUGACUUUUAUAAU